Maylandia zebra (zebra mbuna) is the source of this 162-nucleotide non-coding RNA. NCBI's taxonomy places the organism in Eukaryota, Metazoa, Chordata, Actinopteri, Cichliformes, Cichlidae. The record is from RefSeq and is a predicted model, not a curated record.
UCUGGCUGCAAUCCGGUGGAUAUGCAGUGUGUACAGGUACAGUACGUGAUAUCAAGGGCAGGCGGUCAACACUGGGGACAAGAAGCAGACGUACUUCCAAGAGGGAGCUGCAGUGAGGUCAGAGGAGGCGCUGGAAGGUUUCCCUAAUAGUUCCUGGUGAAU